Molecule: unclassified non-coding RNA, 218 nt
Filed under: uncultured Tomentella
Lineage: Eukaryota; Fungi; Basidiomycota; Agaricomycetes; Thelephorales; Thelephoraceae
Description: sequence contains ITS2
Source: RNAcentral
ACACCUCAACUCCUCCUGGUUUGCCAUGAUGAGCUUGGACCUUGGGGGUAUUGCUGGCCCUGUGGUUGGCUCCUCUCAAAUAGAUCAGCUUGCCAGUGUUUGGUGGCAUCACAGGUGUGAUAAAUAUCUACGCUUGUGGUUUCCACCAUGCGGCCUUCAGCGAUGAAGGUGCGCUGGAGCUCACAAAUGUCCCUCCUCAGCGAGGACAGCUUCUGAAC